AUGAAGUCACCCUUGAGCAAUUGCCAAUAAAAGUCAUAGUGGUUAAGUGGAAACUACACCAACCAUGGAAGAAGAGAUGAAAAAGAAGCUAGGCAUCGUUGCAGAAAGAUAUGUUGAUGAAGAUGAGAAGGUUGAGAAGUUCUUUGCAAUAAUUAGAAGGCUAAGAGAUGCUCGUAAUUGUUCAACAAACAGCUUGCGCGAAUUUGAGGCUUGCAAGAGAAUGAAGAAAGCAAAGAAGGGACAUGUACCAGUAUGGACUCCAUCCUUUCAAUUGGAAGAUUUUGCUGGGCUGAACUUAGCUGAGACAAUUCAACCAAGUUCUUCGAACAAGGACCAAGAAAAGGAGAAGAAAGAAGAGCUAGACCUCAAUCUUACCUUGUGAAGAUUAUAGGAUUCUUAUAGAGCACAAAGUAGGGGAUUGAUGUUCUUGGGAGUGGUUUGAUUCUAGGUUUGCAAACUCAACUAUAAGAUUGUUUGUUCAUGUGAUAUUAUUUUCACUGCUUUUAUUUACUACGUUCAGAAAACAGAAACCUUCCUGUGUGUUCCUCUGUUAUAUGUUAAGAUUUUUCUAGAUAUUUGAAGCAAGAAAAAAUAUUUUGUGAUUUUGUUAAAUCAGUGUCAGCUAGUAAAGUUUAGUUGUAAAGUUGUGAUCAUCCAUAAUUCAAGGGAUGAUGUCUACAUGGAGUCUGGAAAAGUUAGUUUGAGUUUGGGCAAACCAAACAGUAAUGUACUUGAUGCUCUCUGUUGGUAGUGGGGGUGGUCUCCUUUCUCUUGUUCUUGCUGUUAAAUGUUAUUCAAG
RNAcentral lists this unclassified non-coding RNA (799 nucleotides) under Hevea brasiliensis (rubber tree). The record is from RNAcentral. Lineage: Eukaryota; Viridiplantae; Streptophyta; Magnoliopsida; Malpighiales; Euphorbiaceae.